Long non-coding RNA from Brassica napus (rape), 1504 nucleotides. RefSeq lists it as uncharacterized. Lineage: Eukaryota; Viridiplantae; Streptophyta; Magnoliopsida; Brassicales; Brassicaceae. The record is from RefSeq and is a predicted model, not a curated record. The transcript is spliced from 4 exons.
AGAGUAAAACGACAUAGUACUACUUAAAUGAAAACGACAUCACUUUUAUUCAACUCAUAGUGAAAUACUCUCUCUCACAGAGAGUCUCGCCUUCCUUCUUCAUCUUCUACACUUAGCCACUUCUCUUCUCACGCUUCGACCUCAAUCUCUUCUGAGUAAACGCCAACGGAACUGCCAGCUUAUCACUUAUCGAGAUUAGGGUUUGUAGUUGAUCUCUCCUCUAAUAAGCUGGUUUUGACUCAUGGGGUUUUGUUACAGGAAGUUGAAAAAAGAUUUCAGUAAAGCUAUCCUUGAAAGGAAGAAGUAUCCUAAUCGACUUAUUGUUGUUUCUCUCUAUCACUCCACCAUGGAAAAACGCUCCGGCUUUUCCGGGGAUGCGAUUCUCAUCAAGGGUAAAAAAAGGAAUGACACUUGCUGAUGAAUCAGAAUGAACAAGGUCGUACGGUCCAACUUGAAGGUUAGACUGGGUGAUGUCAUCUCUGUUCACCAAUGCCCUGACGUCAAGUAUUGAAAGCGUGUGCAUAUCUUGCCUGUUGAUGACACCGUCGAAGGAGUCACCGGAAACCUCUUCGAUGCUUACCUCAAACGAAUGAGGAGUGUGGAGUUCAAAGUUAUCGAGACUGAUCAAGCUCCAGAUACAGAGAAUCUCUGUGAGGGUGAACCAAUUAAGAGAGAGGAUGAAGCUAAGAAUUGUGUGGUUCUCUAUCGGUAUGCUCCCCUCGAACAUACCAACAACGGCCGCCAUUGUGGGCCUCAGAUCUGGCUCCUCGUUCACGCAGCACAAAGCUAACCCAACCAAUUUUUCAAUCUGUUGGCUCGUCACUGACCCUCUAGCCUCGGGUCCGCUAGCUCUAUUCAAUGGAGAACAAUGAAGAAAUGAAACAAAUAUCAAGAAGAGACCCAUCUGAAAUACCACCUGGACCGAUAGACGAUAAGGUAAGAUUGUUGCAACAGCAACCACCCUUUAGGAUCAAUAAACCUAUGUAGAGACGAAUCCAUUAGUUCUUACACGGCUGGCCUAAAAACAUCUGAACACCAGUUAGGCCACCUAAAGGAUAUAUGCUGCAACGGUGAAUCGAGAUCCCUGUGUUCUGGUUCGGAUCUUUACGUCCUUGAGCUGUGAUUGUGUUCUUUUGUCCCUUCAUUGGUUGGCGAGGGAGAAUCUUGCAGUUUUGUAGAACGGAAUCUGCGUUACCGAAGAUGAAAUUGACUGUUCCUAUUAUGGUGCAGUCGCGGUAGUAUUGGCGUUGUGCAUGCACGUAAAGCGUGUCUUGGUAUGCGUUCAUUGUGCAACAGUAAAAGGCGGUGAGGUCCGCGCUUACCAUUAGAGCUACGGCUUGGUGUUUGGAUGGACCUGCUGUGUUGAUGAAGCCCAUGUCUCUUGCCAUAAACCCUUUCCCGAACACAGCUGUUGAUAACAUAAUAUAGUAAUGUUAAAACUGGUUUCUUGAAACCUAGCAAAGUACAAACAAGUUUCUAUUAAUAAAGUAUUUUUUUUUUUUAA